AGCCCCGUCGUCUAGCGGCCAAGGAUGGGGGACUUUGGAUCCUCCGACGCCGGUUCGAAUCCGGCCGGGGCUA
Molecule: transfer RNA, 73 nt
Filed under: Candidatus Marsarchaeota G1 archaeon OSP_B
Lineage: Archaea; Thermoproteati; Thermoproteota
Also listed under: 3 other names
Description: tRNA-Gln
Rfam family: tRNA
About the family: Transfer RNA (tRNA) molecules are approximately 80 nucleotides in length. Their secondary structure includes four short double-helical elements and three loops (D, anti-codon, and T loops).
Source: RNAcentral